This is a long non-coding RNA of Panthera uncia (snow leopard), 302 nucleotides long. RefSeq lists it as uncharacterized. The record is from RefSeq and is a predicted model, not a curated record. NCBI's taxonomy places the organism in Eukaryota, Metazoa, Chordata, Mammalia, Carnivora, Felidae. The transcript has 3 exons.
CACUCUGCCUUUCUGAUUCCAGAUUUUAAAUUAUUUUUAAUAGGUUGAAUUAUCUCCCACCUACACAGACUCCAACAGUCUGUUCUGGCUCUCCAUGUCCCGUCCUACCACACAAUGUUAACUAUGUGGGCUUCAGAGAUGUUGUCGGAAUAUCUUAAAAGGCCUGUACCACUGAUGAGGCUUUAUCCAGUCUUCUGCACUGACCCCAGUCUUUCGCAUGAGUGUUUGGUGGAGACCAAGGGGAAGAGCUGCUGGUUAUGUUUUUGUCUCCUGGCUAACUGGAACUCAGACUUUACGGUGAG